Molecule: ribosomal RNA, 388 nt
Filed under: uncultured bacterium
Lineage: Bacteria
Description: bacterial SSU rRNA
Rfam family: Bacterial small subunit ribosomal RNA
Source: RNAcentral
GAUGAACGCUAGCGGCAGGCUUAACACAUGCAAGUCGAGGGGUAUUGGUUUUCGGACCAAGAGACCGGCGCACGGGUGCGUAACGCGUAUGCAAUCUACCUUUUGCAGAGGGAUAGCCCAGAGAAAUUUGGAUUAAUACCUCAUAGUAUAGUACUUUGGCAUCAAGGAACUAUUAAAGUCACAACGGCAAAAGAUGAGCAUGCGUCCCAUUAGCUAGUUGGUAAGGUAACGGCUUACCAAGGCUACGAUGGGUAGGGGUCCGUGAGAGGGAGAUCCCCCACACUGGUACUGAGACACGGACCAGACUCCUACGGGAGGCAGCAGUGAGGAAUAUUGGACAAUGGGCGGCAAGCCUGAUCCAGCCACUGCCGCGUGCAGGAGUGACGGU